CGGCGUGCCUAAUACAUGCAAGUUGAGCGCUGAAGGUUGGUACUUGUACCGACUGGAUGAGCAGCGAACGGGUGAGUAACGCGUGGGGAAUCUGCCUUUGAGCGGGGGACAACAUUUGGAAACGAAUGCUAAUACCGCAUAAAAACUUUAAACACAAGUUUUAAGUUUGAAAGAUGCAAUUGCAUCACUCAAAGAUGAUCCCGCGUUGUAUUARCUAGUUGGUGAGGUAAAGGCUCACCAAGGCGAUGAUACAUAGCCGACCUGAGAGGGUGAUCGGCCACAUUGGGACUGARACACGGCCCAAACUCCUACGGGAGGCAGCAGUAGGGAAUCUUCGGCAAUGGACGAAAGUCUGACCGAGCAACGCCGCGUGAGUGAAGAAGGUUUUCGGAUCGUAAAACUCUGUUGGUAGAGAAGAACGUUGGUGAGAGUGGAAAGCUCAUCAAGUGACGGUAACUACCCAGAAAGGGACGGCUAACUACGUGCCAGCAGCCGCGGUAAUACGUA
Molecule: ribosomal RNA, 507 nt
Filed under: Lactococcus lactis subsp. lactis bv. diacetylactis
Lineage: Bacteria; Bacillati; Bacillota; Bacilli; Lactobacillales; Streptococcaceae
Description: bacterial SSU rRNA
Rfam family: Bacterial small subunit ribosomal RNA
Source: RNAcentral